UGUGUGUGUGUGUCCAACAGUGAAGGAGUUCCUGGCUAAAGCCAAAGAGGACUUUCUCAAGAAGUGGGAGAACCCUGAACAGUGUGACAUCACAGCAGCAAGAUUUGUGACCUGUUGCCACAAGAAAAGGGCAACCAGUGAAGAACACACACCAUUAACACAGCGAGUCUGGAUCAGUUUGAGCGGUUGAAAACUCUGGGUACGGGUUCGUUUGGCCGCGUCAUGCUGGUCAAGCACAAAGAGAC
Molecule: long non-coding RNA, 245 nt
Organism: Oncorhynchus masou masou (cherry salmon)
Lineage: Eukaryota; Metazoa; Chordata; Actinopteri; Salmoniformes; Salmonidae
Exons: 3
Source: RefSeq, a predicted model, not a curated record